AGGCCUACGGGGGGCAGCAGUAGGGAAUAUUGCUCAAUGGGGGAAACCCUGAAGCAGCAACGCCGCGUGGAGGAUGAAGGGUUUCGGAUUGUAAACUCCUUUUGUUAGAGAAGAUAAUGACGGUAUCUAACGAAUAAGCACCGGCUAACUCCGUGCCAGCAGCCGCGGUAAUACGGAGGGUGCAAGCGUUACUCGGAAUCACUGGGCGUAAAAAGCGCGUAGGCGGGGUAGCAAGUCAGAUGUGAAAUCCUAUGGCUUAAACCUAGAACUGCAUUUUAAA
This 280-nucleotide ribosomal RNA is filed under the name uncultured bacterium. Its description in RNAcentral is "partial 16S ribosomal RNA". It matches the Rfam family "Bacterial small subunit ribosomal RNA", at positions 335 to 632 of the family's 1533-position model. The record is from RNAcentral.